Molecule: ribosomal RNA, 289 nt
Filed under: uncultured archaeon SYA_2000_59
Lineage: Archaea
Description: partial 16S ribosomal RNA
Rfam family: Archaeal small subunit ribosomal RNA
Source: RNAcentral
GUACGUGUCUCUCAUUCCGUCUUCCGUUGUAUCCAAGCGCUUCAGCGGUUGCCUUCGGUUGAUUCCGUACAGCUUGAGGAUUUGGAUUGUUGUCGGUAUUUUUGCGUUAGUGCGCGUAAUCCUUUUAUCCCAGGAUGACCUCCUUUUGCGAAGGCUGCUCAUCUAUGUCUCGCCUGACGGUCACUUUCGAAAGCUGGGGCAGCGAACCGGAUUAGAUCCCCGGGUAGUCCCUUUCUGUAAUCGAUGCUAGCUAGGUGUUGGGUCGGCCUCGCGCCGCCCCAGUGCCGCA